GGGUAAGGCUAGGGGGUCACCUGAUUCAUUCACCUGACGUGUCAUUCACGUGACCUGUUGUAGCAGGUAGAUAGCUACCGGGUUGCAGGCCCUUUGUUAAAAUUGAAUGGCGCGGCAAACACAGUGGUGAGGGCACUGUUUUGCGGGUGGAUUUUUGGCCGGCGGUGAUUUAACAGAGCGGUACACUGCAGUCAUCCUGCCCGUUUGCUCCCCUGGGCUUUUGUGCAACAUUAUCUGCAGUUCGCUUGGAUUUGUUGGUUCCGAGCAAGAGGUCAGCCGACUAAAUGCGUGCAGUUGCGGGGGAUUUUAAAGAGGAACGACCUGUAGCCACUGUUUUUCCCACCACCAUUGAUUGUGUAGCCUAUCAUGUAUUGUGAUGCCUUACCUAAACCGACGAUAUAGUGGUAUCGUAACUCCCCCUAUUUCCACCGGUCCCGUAUUUCCACCGUCUUGCGUGUAUGUGUCACUUAAUAUCCAUUUCUAAACAAACCAAGACAGCGGACUCCUAUAGAAACGCAACCACCCACAACAUAGGUGUAUCUAAAUUAGCCAACCCAGUCUCACGUCUGAACGUGUCACUGUCACGUUAAUUAAUCUAUUGGGACGUGUUGUGUAACACGUUUCCUUGUUAAAAAACGUGUUGAGCAGGACGUAAUUAUCGUGUUACUAUCACGUUGUAUUUCGCUUUCAGCCAGAACCACGUCAUCUGUCAAAAAAGCCCGACCCAAAAUGGCGAGAAUGUUAUUUGAUGCUUUUGACGUGCAGUUUCAUACUCUUAAGCCUGCUUUGAGUUGUGGGUUAGAAGGAGCCACCUUCUAGCUAGCAGUUUUAGAAGGCUGAACCCCAGAAUCCAGAAACAAGAACCGAGCAGGGACGGAGAAAAGAGAAGAAUCCAAAUGGGAAAUGAGAUAAGGCCUCUUCAUUUUCAUCUGUGAAGGAUCUACAUGGACUUGGUCUGGAUAGCCUUUCCUGUUUUGAUGAGCCAGUCGGGUCUAUAGGAGAAACCCUAUAUGAGCCCCAGGAUUUUAUGAGGUAUGUAAACGUUCGAAAAACGCAGAAGAGCCCCGUAUAAGAGCCCCAGUGUGAUAGGCUGGUUGCUGUCAUGUGACACACGCCACCACAAGAAAGCGGAAACACAUUGUAGAGCCGUGUGGGGUAAGAUCCUUGCUCCUGAUAUCCCGAUGUAUGGGUUGCACUUCAUUAUAUGACUCCAACAGAACACUCACAGAAAGGAGAGUAGUAUCAAACUACAAGACAGCCAGCAUCUGUGUUAUGGAGUGCAUCCUCACAUCAUGGUCUACUGCAGCGGUGGAUACAGAGGACAAUUGGCAGGUUGUCAGCUGUUUGGUUAUCCCCAAAGCAGAAAGACAUGCCAGGAAGGAGCAAGGCAAAGCCCGGGGAUUUUUCUGCAGCUGUUCCUGCCCGUUAUAGAAGGACUGCUCCUGAGAAUAGAUGGGUGUCUACAUCGUUUUGCAAAAUGGGUCUUCUACACAUGAUGUUUGUCAAGCACUGCUCAUUGACUGGCCAGGGGUCCUCUGUAUUGUGACCACUGGUCAAAGGCGCCACAUGACUGUCUCAAAGUCCUCUACAUCAUUCCGGUGACGGGACUUCUGGCCUAGUCUGACAGGAUGGGUCUUGUGUUACUGUGACCAGACGGCUCAACAAUGCAUCAUUCUCAUCCAUGCCCUUAUCGCCUCAAGACUGGAGUACAGCAUUCUCUAUGGUCUUGAAAAAUAUUACUGUCUUUAUUAUUAUUAUUAUUAUUAUUAUUAUUAUUAUUACAGGUCUCUCUGCACCCGAACCAGCAGGUUCAGAGGAAGCUUCUUUUCUGUGGCUGUCACCCGACUGGACUGUAGCUCUGUAUCCCGUGGUGUAUACUACGAAUCUCGAUUAGUCGGUUAGCGAGGUAUGUUGCGCUCAAAGCCAGGGUAUGCUGUGACACGAAAGUGGAUCUGUUUUAGUGUCGCUGUAUCACCAUGGUAUCUU
This is a long non-coding RNA of Alosa sapidissima (American shad), 1986 nucleotides long. RefSeq lists it as uncharacterized. The record is from RefSeq and is a predicted model, not a curated record. NCBI's taxonomy places the organism in Eukaryota, Metazoa, Chordata, Actinopteri, Clupeiformes, Clupeidae. The transcript has 9 exons.